This 25-nucleotide non-coding RNA is filed under the name Mus musculus (house mouse). Lineage: Eukaryota; Metazoa; Chordata; Mammalia; Rodentia; Muridae. The record is from RNAcentral.
UAGGUUGGUAUGCGCACAUGAGGGU